AUAGGGAUGGGAAGGAGAGACGGUUGGCCUCUACCCUGAGAGGGACGGGAACAACCUCUGGGCUUACCUGUUACCACAGAUAUGGUUAAGGCUUCCCAUUCUGGUGGAUCUUACCCAAAUUUUAC
Molecule: small nuclear RNA, 125 nt
Organism: Magnolia sinica
Lineage: Eukaryota; Viridiplantae; Streptophyta; Magnoliopsida; Magnoliales; Magnoliaceae
Source: RefSeq, a predicted model, not a curated record